This 463-nucleotide ribosomal RNA is filed under the name uncultured bacterium. RNAcentral describes it as "partial 16S ribosomal RNA". It matches the Rfam family "Bacterial small subunit ribosomal RNA", at positions 28 to 507 of the family's 1533-position model. The record is from RNAcentral.
GACGAACGCUGGCGGCGUGCUUAACACAUGCAAGUCGAACGGAAAGGCCUUUUCGGCGGUACUCGAGUGGCGAACGGGUGAGUAACACGUGGGUGAUCUGCCCUGCACUCUGGGAUAAGCCUGGGAAACUGGGUCUAAUACCGGAUAGGACCGCACUUUAGCGUGUGUGGUGGAAAGUUUUUUCGGUGUAGGAUGAGCCCGCGGCCUAUCAGCUUGUUGGUGGGGUAAUGGCCUACCAAGGCGGCGACGGGUAGCCGGACUGAGAGGUUGGUCGGCCACAUUGGGACUGGGAUACGGCCCAGACUCCUACGGGAGGCAGCAGUGGGGAAUAUUGCACAAUGGGCGCAAGCCUGAUGCAGCGACGCCGCGUGGGGGAUGACGGCCUUCGGGUUGUAAACUCCUUUCGCCAGGGACGAAGCGUUUUGUGACGGUACCUGGAGAAGAAGCACCGGCUAACUACGUG